This 250-nucleotide ribosomal RNA is filed under the name uncultured bacterium. RNAcentral's name for it is "partial 16S ribosomal RNA". It matches the Rfam family "Bacterial small subunit ribosomal RNA", at positions 959 to 1208 of the family's 1533-position model. The record is from RNAcentral.
ACGCGCAGAACCUUACCCGGGCUUGAAUUGCAGACGAACGAUUCAGAGAUGAUGAGGCCUUUCGGGGCGUCUGUGAAGGUGCUGCAUGGUUGUCGUCAGCUCGUGCCGUGAGGUGUCGGCUUAAGUGCCAUAACGAGCGCAACCCCCUUUCUUCAGUUGCCAUCAGGUGAUGCUGGGCACUCUGGAGACACUGCCACCGCAAGGUGUGAGGAAGGUGGGGAUGACGUCAAAUCAGCACGGCCCUUACGUC